UAAGCAUGGUAACAUGUUCAGCUGACCGAUACUAAUAGAUCGAGGGCUUGACCAAA
RNAcentral lists this ribosomal RNA (56 nucleotides) under Clostridium perfringens. Its description in RNAcentral is "partial 23S ribosomal RNA". Lineage: Bacteria; Bacillati; Bacillota; Clostridia; Eubacteriales; Clostridiaceae. The record is from RNAcentral.